UUUCCAAAUAAAUAAUUCAUUCUAAUUGAAAAUUUUACUCAAAUUCGUUUGUUUCCUUUUCUUCUUCUCUUUUUCUUUUUUCUUUCGGAAUUAACAAUAAGAAAAAUUAGCUAGGAGAUGUUGGGUAACUUAGCAAGCCACCCGUCUGAAUCAACAUAUGACAAACUCAAAAAAUUGCUAAGCUCACUAGCAUCGAGUUUUUUUACCCAAGGUACACGCUUGGAAGUGUCUGCUCCUGGUCCUUUAUUUUCAACCUCCACAUAAGUAAAAUUUCCUCUGCAAUUGUCAAUGUAAGCAGAAACAUUCAUUAAUUACUGUCGGGUGACCAUAAAUUUAAUUAGCAUUGAAAGCAGAUAACAAAAUGGAGAUGAUUGAGAGCAACAUCAAAAUUAAUCUUACUCCUGGUGAACGUAGUCCCACGCAUCCCAACCUUGAGGCACUACAACAUCAGACAGGGUAGAGUUAUGGACCACUACAGUAGAAAAGGGCCCCCAAGCUCUUCCAAGAUAAGCUUUACCAGUUCCAUUGAUUUCACAAUUUUUGAACACAAAACCACUCUCAUUUUCUGCCCAUUCUUUCUUUUGUGCUGUUAUAUAUCCAGGUAAUUCUGGUUCGUAUCUUCCUAUGUUAACAAAUAUUAUGCAUUUCUCGUAAAUGGAUUUGCCUUUGCCAAAAAUGAAAUCUAUAGCACCUUCAAUGUAGCAUUUGUUCAAGUAAUGGCGACCCUUCUCAUCCCAGAAGGUAUCUUGUACCCCUAGAAAGGCACAAUCAUAGAAAGCAGACUUGUCCCCUCUUAUCCUAGCGGACACAGCUUGGCCAUUUGGGCUAUUGUAAGUAUUCUUGAAUGUGAUGCCUUUUGCUACGAUGUUUUCAGGAUAGGAAGUGAAGGUGGCACUCGACCCUGUCACUCCAUGAUCACCCCAUUCGAUCCUUGUCAACUCACUACCUUCUCCUUGGAGAAAGAUGCAUGGUUUAUUCACAGGAAUUGUAACUUUUUCCCUGUAUGUUUCAGGAGAAAUUUGAAUACGUAUCCACUGAGUAUUCCCAUCAGGAAUCGAAUCAAUGGCGCUUUGAAUUGUAGUGAAGUUUCCUUUGCCUGACUUAUCAACAGUAAUUGUAUAUGCGACUUUGUAAUUGCUUGAUUCAUUUAAUUGGCAAUCCAAAGCCUUACAUGCACUGGAACAGAUGACCAAUAUCCAAAUGAACCAAAAUGAACGGCGAAAUUCCAUUUUUAUGAAGAUUCAAAGAAUAGCCUCUUUCCAAGAGAUAUGUUAGCUAGCUAGCUAACUAGCUAUAAUUU
RNAcentral lists this unclassified non-coding RNA (1300 nucleotides) under Hevea brasiliensis (rubber tree). Lineage: Eukaryota; Viridiplantae; Streptophyta; Magnoliopsida; Malpighiales; Euphorbiaceae. The record is from RNAcentral.